GACAGAGGGGGCAAGCGUUGCUCGGAAUUACUGGGCGUAAAGGGCGCGUAGGCGGGACGGAAGUCGGUCGUGAAAUCCUCCGGCUCAACCGGAGAACGGCGAUCGAUACUUCCGUUCUUGAGGGUUGCAGAGGAGACUGGAAUUCCCGGUGUAGCGGUGAAAUGUGUAGAGAUCGGGAGGAACACCGGUGGCGAAGGCGGGUCUCUGGGCAACUCCUGACGCUGAGGCGCGAAAGCGUGGGGAGCAAACGGG
RNAcentral lists this ribosomal RNA (252 nucleotides) under uncultured bacterium. Its description in RNAcentral is "partial 16S ribosomal RNA". It matches the Rfam family "Bacterial small subunit ribosomal RNA", at positions 524 to 776 of the family's 1533-position model. The record is from RNAcentral.